Molecule: long non-coding RNA, 864 nt
Filed under: Coturnix japonica (Japanese quail)
Lineage: Eukaryota; Metazoa; Chordata; Aves; Galliformes; Phasianidae
Description: lncRNA (ENSCJPG00005016594.1)
Source: RNAcentral
AUGACCGUAGGGGAUCCUUCCUUAGCGGGUCGGAGCCCAAAGGAACGCAGAGUGGGAGCAGCAGGGGCAUUCUGUUCCCCCUGUCCCGCAGCCCCCAAGCAGCAGGGUCUGAACUGGUGGUUCUCUUUAGCCGUGAGCCCUCAGUUGGUGUCAGCCCGGUGCCAGGCACCCCUAGCUCAUGUUCCCCCCGCGCCCAGCCGGGAAGUGGCCAAACUCAGCAAUAAAUCAAUCCACUGCCACAUCGCUCCCUUCGAUCGAGCAAACACUGCGAUCAGUCCGGUCACUUCUCCUCCCACCCCACCCGCUCUGAGACUGACGCUGCUUCACGGGCUGGGGAUACGGACCCGAGGUGGAGAUGUACGGUUAAAGAGCCGCUGGAGCGAGCCCCGAGUUCCCGGGGGAGAAGGAAGGUUGGCCUGUGGAGAGGCAGCCAGCAGGUAUUUCGGUGACCGUCCCUUUGAACACGUUCAGUUUCUGCCUUUUCCAUCCGGAACGUCUUCCUCAGACCAACUGUGAUUUCUGCCGUAAUUCUUGUGUGUGUUUACGAUCGCUUCGGAGGAGAUGGUUGCCGCAGUGUGUGGCAAGUGCUUCUUCGAGAAAUCCAUCAGCCCUUCUACGGUGACUCCGAGGGAAGGGUGCUGCCAGCACUUUCGCGCAUUCCCAGGUGUUGCGAGGAGGAGAGAAGCGAGGGGCCGGAGCGCUUCAUGGGGGGUGGAAGGGGCGGGGGGGUGAAGGGGCACCUGGGGAGGGGAACCCGCCCAGUGCGUGUGGGACCGCGUGCCGGUCAGGGCUGGGGAACGCGCCCCUUCUGCCAUAAUUAGUCGGAACAAUAAACAUAAUUGGAAUAAAAUCGGUUGGAAAUUC